RNAcentral lists this long non-coding RNA (1486 nucleotides) under Equus caballus (horse). Its description in RNAcentral is "lncRNA (ENSECAG00000054038.1)". The record is from RNAcentral. Lineage: Eukaryota; Metazoa; Chordata; Mammalia; Perissodactyla; Equidae.
CCAGGCCGGUUGAGACCACCAACUCAUCAACUGGGUCUGUGCAGAUGUCCGAUAGGCGACCUUUUGACGUCAAGAGGCUAAAAACUCCACCCUCAGAUCAUGCUAAUGCCGCCAUUUUGUGAACAUGGGUCCUGUGAAGAGACAUGGAGUCUGACUACGCUUGCGCACAUCAUCAGUUACCUCACCCCUCCCCACCUCCAAUCACCUCUCUCCACAGUUCAGACCACCUUGCCCCCAUCCCGUAAAUAUCCCUGAGUCCCUAUUUUCGGGGAAGCAAAUUUGAGGCUCAUGCUCUCGCUUCUUCGCAUGGCUGCCUUAGUCUUUCUCUAUCCAUUGCUGGCUUUGAAGAAGGAAGCUGCCAUGAAUCCUACAGCUGCAUGGGGCCAAAUGCUGCCAAAAACCAUGUGAGUGAGAAAGUGAGUCCCUCCCUAGUCGAGCCUCCAGAUGAGACCUCAGCCCAGGCUGACACCUUAACUGCAGUCUUGAGACUCUGAAAUGGAGAUCAGCUAACCUGUGUCCAGACUCCAGACCCAGAGUAGCUAUGAGAAAACUGACAUUUGUCGCUUUAAGCUGCUGGGUUUGUGAUAGUGUGUUAUGCAGAAAUAGAUGUCUACACUUAUCAACUAAUUGUGUAGCCUUGAGGAUGCCUACAGAAGAUUCAAAGACACAGUGAAAUGGUCAAAGUCAUCUUCUAGGAGAAGGCUCUAAAAUGACACCUCUGGUGCCAAGACACUAACAAGAUCGCCCCCAGAAUUCUCCUUUCUUCAUCAUCCAGAAAGAUUCACGAUGGUGAAAGUUGCCCCAUGCAGCAGCUGAAAGAUGCCCAAUUACCUUCUGUGAGAGUCAAAGCUUUUGGAAGAAAUGAGCAGCAAAUAUUUUGACCUGGGGUCAAAGAACCAGGACAUCCUUGGAAACACACAGUGCUGCUUUGGAUCUCAACUUAACGACGUGUCAGCUCUGUGUUUUGGGGCAAUUUAUUUAACUACUCUAAGCUUUGGCUUUCUCACUUAAAAACAGGAAUUAUAAUUCCUAGUUCAUAAGGUUGUUGCAAUGCUUGAAACAGGAUAACAUAUCGGAAAGCAUCUAUAAUAUUUCCUGGCAUAUUAGGCAUCCUAGAAAUUUCUAGGAUUGUCCCUUCCCUCUUUGGAAGCGGGUAUUGGUGCUCAGUCACGUGGUCAUCAAGCAACAUAUAAGCAUAUUUCGUAUCAAAAGUGUCAUCCACAUUGACCCCUCAUCUCCUCUUGGUCUGCUACUACUCCUCCUCAUCUUGAUAGCGAUGUCAAUAGGCAAUUUCAUGGUAAAGUUAAUGAGAAGCUAUGAUCUCGAGGGCUAAUUCUGAAAGCAUUCAUAGGCAAAUCUGGAGUAGAAAGAAGCCAUUUAUAUUUCUCACAUGUUUUCUUAUAACUGGUGCACUGGAAACCCGUCAUUCUAAAAGAACCAAGUAAGUGACAGACUAUGUUGGUGCAUCCCACAGCCUUCUCUUGUU